AAUAAAUGGACUACACUAGGCAGGCUGCAUUUUUUGGGCCCCCCAUCGAGGUUAUUUAUGAAUUGAAAUCUGAAACUUACCAAAGUUACUAAUAAAAGUGAAUUCACAUUUUACAUAGCCUAGUCUUUGCUUACAAAUUGGUUGUUUGUAUACCAAAUUAAGUCAUGUGUUGUAUAUUAACCAGUCUAUCAGACAUUUUUUGCUAAAUUUAUUAUUUAUACGUCAUUACACGGCUCUAUUAAAUGCUAUUAAAUUAUCCUCACCUUAUCCAUUGGGAGUGUCAUUGUUAAGGCAGUAGUACAAGUAAAUAACCAAUAGGUGUCAGUAAUCCGCGGGAGAGCUUCGCUGCAUAUUUCUCUUCAAGAUUGAGAAUCGCAACGAAAUCCUCGUCGAGCAACACGUCCACUGAGCAACCAUGUCUGUGUCCUUAAAGGAACUCUGUCAGGUACAGAGUGGAACGAUGAACUUGAAAAUCAACCAUUCUGAUGACUGGCGUCCCCAUCCGAGUCACCACCUCAGACAACAACAGUCAUAAACUCACAAACACAAAUACACUCAGUAAUGCGCUUAAUAAAGAAAGACUUAACUAUGA
Non-coding RNA from Misgurnus anguillicaudatus (oriental weatherfish), 592 nucleotides. NCBI's taxonomy places the organism in Eukaryota, Metazoa, Chordata, Actinopteri, Cypriniformes, Cobitidae. The record is from RefSeq and is a predicted model, not a curated record.